Molecule: ribosomal RNA, 608 nt
Filed under: uncultured bacterium
Lineage: Bacteria
Description: bacterial SSU rRNA
Rfam family: Bacterial small subunit ribosomal RNA
Source: RNAcentral
GGGGAUAACACUUGGAAACAGGUGCUAAUACCGUAUAACAACCAAAACCACCUGGUUUUGGUUUAAAAGACGGCUUCGGCUGUCACUUUAGGAUGGACCCGCGGCGCAUUAGCUUGUUGGUAAGGUAACGGCUUACCAAGGCGAUGAUACGUAGCCGACCUGAGAGGGUAAUCGGCCACAUUGGGACUGAGACACGGCCCAAACUCCUACGGGAGGCAGCAGUAGGGAAUCUUCCACAAUGGACGAAAGUCUGAUGGAGCAACGCCGCGUGAGUGAUGAAGGGUUUCGGCUCGUAAAACUCUGUUGUUGGAGAAGAACAGGUGUCAGAGUAACUGUUGACAUCUUGACGGUAUCCAACCAGAAAGCCACGGCUAACUACGUGCCAGCAGCCGCGGUAAUACGUAGGUGGCAAGCGUUGUCCGGAUUUAUUGGGCGUAAAGCGAGCGCAGGCGGUUUUUUAGGUCUGAUGUGAAAGCCUUCGGCUUAACCGGAGAAGUGCAUCGGAAACCGGGAGACUUGAGUGCAGAAGAGGACAGUGGAACUCCAUGUGUAGCGGUGAAAUGCGUAGAUAUAUGGAAGAACACCAGUGGCGAAGGCGGCUGUCUGGU